RNAcentral lists this small RNA (568 nucleotides) under Drosophila ananassae. RNAcentral describes it as "GF21349". The record is from RNAcentral. Lineage: Eukaryota; Metazoa; Arthropoda; Insecta; Diptera; Drosophilidae.
UUAUCGCCAUUCCCCUGAUCCUCCAUUCGUACGCAAUGAUGUGUUUGCAACGCAAUUUAUUUAAAAUGCAGAAUUUUGGGAAGAUUGGCUGAUAAGAAAUGUGGAGAUGAUCAAAAGUGAUCUAAUAAUGAGGGCUGACUAAUUGGCGAAUGAAUGGAAUGCCUAGACCUGGAUUAAAGGAUGAAUUAAAGAAGUUACAUGGAAUUAUAAGUAGAAGCCCCACUUUUAAUGCUUUUGGAGAAGAAGCUGCCUGUGGAGCACCCCUUGUCAACAGAAAGAAGAAGACAACGUAUUUCUGACACCUAUUGAUGUGGAUAUGGACGAAGCCAGCCGACGAGGACUCAUUUGAAUCUGGACGAGGACGAGCCCUCAAUUGGAUCUGGACGAAGAUAAGGGCUUAUUUGAAUCUGGACGAGGACGAAGCCAGCAGGAUGCGUUGAGCACUCAAUUGGAUCUAGACAAAUUAUAAACUAUUUUAAGUGACAUUGUAUUUUAUUUUUAAUCACCAUAUUGUAAUUGUUUCUCUUCGUGGAGGCCAGUCCCAAAAAAAAAAAGGACGGCCUCCAAA